Molecule: ribosomal RNA, 253 nt
Filed under: uncultured bacterium
Lineage: Bacteria
Description: partial 16S ribosomal RNA
Rfam family: Bacterial small subunit ribosomal RNA
Source: RNAcentral
GACAGAGGGGGCAAGCGUUGCUCGGAAUCACUGGGCGUAAAGGGCGCGUAGGCGGGCGGGCAAGUCGGCUGUGAAAUGCGUGGGCUCAACCCACGGGGGACGGUCGAAACUGCCGGUCUUGAGGGGGGCAGAGGAGUCUGGAAUUCCCGGUGUAGCGGUGAAAUGUGUAGAGAUCGGGAGGAACACCGGUGGCGAAGGCGGGGCUCUGGGCCCACUCUGACGCUGAGGCGCGAAAGCGUGGGGAGCAAACGGG